Molecule: non-coding RNA, 74 nt
Organism: Podarcis lilfordi (Lilford's wall lizard)
Lineage: Eukaryota; Metazoa; Chordata; Lepidosauria; Squamata; Lacertidae
Source: the annotation of a GenBank genome assembly
UGCUGGAUAGCUCAGUUGGUACAGCAUGCAACUUUUAAUCUCAGGGUCAUGGGUUUGAGCCCCACAUUGGGCGA